AUGGAGGUAGUGACAAUAAAUAACAAUGCCGGGCCUUUGUAGGUCUGGCAAUUGGAAUGAGAACAAUUCAAACCCCUUAUCGAGGAUCAAUUGGAGGGCAAGUCUGGUGCCAGCAGCCGCGGUAAUUCCAGCUCCAAUAGCGUAUACUAAAGUUGUUGCAGUUAAAAAGCUCGUAGUUGGAUUUAUGGCGGUUCCCGGGGUCCAAUUUUUGGUACAUUCGGGGACUGCCAUCCUUGGGUGGAACCCGUGUGGAAUUAAGUUUUCGUGCAGGGGAUGCCCAUCGUUUACUGUGAAAAAAUCAGAGUGCUUCAAGCAGGCUUAUGCCGUUGAAUACAUUAGCAUGGAAUAAUAAAAUACGACUUCGGUACUAUUUUGUUGGUUUGCGCACCGAUGUAAUAAUUAAUAGAGACAGUUGGGGAUAUUCGUAUUCCGUUGUCAGAGGUGAAAUUCUUGGAUUUCCGGAAGACGAACUACUGCGAAAGCAUUUAUCAAGGAUGUUUUCAUUAAUCAAGAACGAAAGUUAGGGGAUCGAAGAUGAUUAGAUACCAUCGUAGUCUUAACCAUAAACUAUGCCGACAAGGGAUUGGUGGGGCUUCGUUACGUCUCCAUCAGCACCUUAUGAGAAAUCACAAGUUUUUGGGUUCCGGGGGGAGUAUGGUCGCAAGGCUGAAACUUAAAGAAAUUGACGGAAGGGCACCACCAGGAGUGGAGCCUGCGGCUUAAUUUGACCCAACACGGGAAAACUUACCAGGUCCAGACAUAGUGAGGAUUGACAGAUUGAGAGCUCUUUCUUGAUUCUAUGGGUGGUGGUGCAUGGCCGUUCUUAGUUGGUGGAGUGAUUGUCUGGUUAAUUCCGUUAACGAACGAGACCCCUGCCUGCUAAAUAGUCCAGUGAGUGAAUUUCACUGACCGGGACUUCUUAGAGGGACGUGCGUUCUAUUAGACGGGGAAGAUAGGGGCAAUAACAGGUCUGUGAUGCCCUUAGAUGUCCUGGGCCGCACGCGCGCUACACUGAUGCAUUCAACGAGUGCUUCCUUGGCCGAGAGGCCUGGGCAAUCUUUUGAACGUGCAUCGUGAUAGGGAUAGAUUAUUGCAAUUAUUAAUCUUGAACGAGGAAUUCCUAGUAAACGGAGAUCAUCAAUCUCCAUUGAUUACGUCCCUGCCCUUUGUACACACCGCCCGUCGCACCCACCGAUUGAAUGGUCCGGUGAGGAUUCGGGACUGUGACCAGUGCCUUUACUGGUGUUGGUCACGGGAACUUGUCCAAACCUUAUCAUUU
This 1279-nucleotide ribosomal RNA is filed under the name metagenome. RNAcentral's name for it is "SSU rRNA". It matches the Rfam family "Eukaryotic small subunit ribosomal RNA", at positions 458 to 1774 of the family's 1831-position model. The record is from RNAcentral.